AACAUUAAGGUUUUUCAAAUUCAAAACAUUAAGGUUUUUCAAUUUAUUUAACUUAAACAGUGACUAACAAAAUGUAUCUUAGUUGAAAAUUCUACUUUCAUAUUAUAUUAUUUUCACACUUUUUAUAUCAUAUACUUUAUGUGAAAUUGAGUUGUAAUAUUUAUAUAUAUAUAUAUAUAUAUAUGUGUGUGUGUGUGUGUGUGUGUGUGUGUGUGUGUGUAUACAUAUAUAUAUAUGUGUGUAUAUAUAUAUAUAUAUAUAUAUAUAUAUAUAUAUAUAUAUAUAUAUAUAUACACAGCGGGUAAAAUAAGUAUUGAACACGUCACCAUUUUUCUCAGUAAAGAUAUAUUUCUAAAGGUGUUGUUGACAUGAAAUUUUCACCAGAUGUUGGUAACAACCCAAGUAAUCCAUAAAUAAAACAAAACAAAUAAGUUCAGAAAUUAAGUAAUGUGUAAUAAAAUGGAAUGUCACAAGGAAAAAGUAUUAAACUACUGAAAUUUAUUUAAUACUUCGUACAAAAGCCUUUGUUGGUAAUGACAGCUUCCAGACCCCUCCUGUAUGGAGAAACUAGUCGCAUGUAUUGCUCAGGUGUGAUCUGGUCCAUUCUUCCAGACAGUCUUCGAAUCUUGAUGGUUCUGUGGGCCUCUUAUAAGAACUCUGAUCUUUAGUUCUUAUUUUCUAUUGGAUUCAAGUCAGGUUAUUGGCUGGGCCAUUCUAGCAGUUUUAUUUUCUUUCUAUGAAUCAAAUUGAGAGUUUCCUUGGCCAUGUUUGGGAUCAUUAUCUUGCUUAAAUGUCCGCCCUUGUUUCAGCUUCAUCAUCCUGGUACUGUAGGUGUUGGGACUGAACCAGCUAAUAUUAAUUUCUACUGACAAGGGGAGGAUUGUUUUCUAAUUACAGAUAGAUUUCUUGGCUUUCCAUGCCUUUUUGCACCUCCCUUUCUUCAUGUGUUCAAUACUUUUUCCAUGUGUCAUUCCAUUUUAUUACACAUUUGUGGCAGGGGGGGCGUGGUUUAGCGAAGUCUGCAGCGGGAGAGAGAAUCAGGAGACGAUCGGUAAGUGAGUGGUUUGGGCAGAGACGAGCAACACCUGUCUCUUGUUUCAGUAAUUGGCGUGGAGAGAGUAUAAAACGCCAGGAGAGACAGAAGCAAGACAGAGAGAGAGACGGACUGCUGACGUGACCCCAAACCGGAAGAAGUCACCCGGAAGUGUUAUGUGAUCGUGUCGUUGUUGAUGCUAGAGUAAAAGUCACCGUUGGUGCAAAGUUUAUUUGUGUUAUAAUAAAAGAUACGUCAGCAGUCCAGCCGACCCCUUUGUCCUCUUCCUUUCCUCCCACGAACUUACUACAACAUUUAUUACACAACUUAAUUUCUGAACUUAUUUGUUUUGUUGUCUUUUUAUGUAUGCAUUACUUGGGUUGUUACCAACAUCUGGUGAAAAUUUCAUGUCAACAGCACCUUUCGAAAUACUUAUACUUAUUUUACCCACUGUAUAUUGUCACAAGUUAAAAUUAUGUGCACUGAACAAAAUUAUAAAUGCCACACUUUUGUUUUUGCCCCCAUUUUUCAUGAGCUGAAGUCAAAGAUCUAAGACUUUUUCUAUGUACACAAAAGGCCUAUUUAUCUAAAAUAUUGUUCACAAAUCUGUCUAAAUCUGUGUUAGUGAGCACUUCUCCUUUGCCAAGAUAAUCCAUCUACCUCAAGAUGCUGAUUAGACACCAUGAUUAUUGUACAAGUGUGCCUUAUGCUGGCCACAAUAAAAGGCCACUCUAAAAUGGGCAGUUUUACUGUAUUGGGGGGUCCGAAAACCAGCCAGUAUCUGGUGUGACCACCAUUUGUCUCACACAGUGCAACACAUCUCCUUGGCAUAGAGUUGAUCAGGUUGUUGAUUGUGGCCUGUGGAAUGUUAGUCCACUCCUCUUCAAUGGCUGUGCGAAGUUGCUGGAUAUUGGCAGGAACUGGAACACACUGUUGUAUACGCCAAGCCAGAGCAUCCCAAACAUGCUCAAUGGGUGACAUGUCCGGUGAGUAUACUGGCCAUGCAAGAACUGGGAUGUUUUCAGCUUCCAGGAAAUAUGUACAGAUCCUUGCAACAGGCGGCCGUGUAUUAUCAUGAUGCAACAUGAGGUGAUGGUCGUGGAUGAAUGGCACAACAAUGCGCCUCAGGAUCUCGUCACGGUAUCUCUGUGCAUUCAAAAUGUCAUCAAUAAAAUCCACUUGUGUUCGUUGUCCAUAACAUACGCCUGCCCAUACCAUAACCCCACCGCAACCAUGGGCCACUCGGUCCACAACGUUGACAUCAGCAAACCGCUCACCCACACGAUGCCAUACACGCUGUCUGCCAUCUGCCCUGUACAGUGAAAACCGGGAUUCAUCCGUGAAGAGAGCACCUCUCCAAAGUGCCAGACACCAUCGAAUGUGAGCAUUU
Cyprinus carpio carpio is the source of this 2423-nucleotide long non-coding RNA. The record is from Ensembl. Lineage: Eukaryota; Metazoa; Chordata; Actinopteri; Cypriniformes; Cyprinidae.